UUAAACCUUAAAAUAAUUGAAAACCACUACAGGGUUUUAAGAAGGAGGAUGGCAUAAUCCAGUUUGCACUUCAGAAAGAUAGCUCUGCUGGAGUAUACACAAGGAAUUGGAGAGGGUCCAAAGAUGAAGCCAUCAAUCAGGAAGAAGGCCCUGUUUUUUAGUGCUCUCUCCUAGGCAAUAGGUCAUGGCAGCUGGUACUAAGAUGGUGGUGGUAGUAGAAGGAGGAAAUAUUUAAGACAUGUUUAGUAGGUAUUUAGGAGGUUCUGGAUUAGAUGUGGAGAGCAGUCUGUCAGCAGUGUGGAAGAUGACUGGAGCAGAGAAAGACUUAAGGAAGCACUGCCUGGAGAAAAAAUAACCCCAUGAAAUCACAACUAGCACGAUGAGAAAGGAAAAACUAAUUUUAGCUGGAAACAUCUUAAGAGAAUAGGCUGUUUAAUAUGUUAAUCUAGUCAACUGAAGAAGCAGGAUCUGUAUCUUAAUAUCUUGGCAGAUGCUGGCAUUCAUCUUUCUUAUCAAGGCUCAUGGCAGAGAGCAUAGAAGGAAAACAAGUAAACUCAAGCGACAAGGCAGUGUGCCUCACCUCUUUUCAGCUGCAGGGCCAUCUCCUGGAUGAAUGAGCCUACUCAGCCUGGCCAGCGCUCACCCAGGCAGGCAGCGCAUGCGGAGAGCUCAUCAGACCCACACUUGGAAGCGGCCAUCAAAAUCUAAAACACCUGUGGCAUCGCAACAAAGCUGAAUCCCAAAUCAGUCCAUGGUAAAGGAGGAAGUAGCUGUUUAGGAUAAAUACCUUUAUGUGGAUUCACAUACUGAAGAAAAUAAGCUUUUUUUGCUAGUUCAAGAAAUACUGCCAUAUCCAGAGAGCUGUGGGCCACAAUAGCGAAACUUUAAGGCUUUCAAAGUAGCAAAUCUCUACAUUCAUAUCAAGUAACAAUCCCAUAAUGGCUGCCGAAUAGGGCAGAAUAAUCUAUAAAGUUUUCACAUGCGUAUUUCAUUUCUCUUCCUUUGUUUUUAUCUCCAAAUAUGCUGAGCUAUUUGGUGGUGGUGGUGAGAGCGGUCUGUGUGGGGAGGUGUCCCACUGUUUGUUGUAAUAGGAGAAUCACUUAGGUAUUUCAGAGAGACCGCAUGGUGUGAUGGAAAGAAUACCAUCUGGGGAGUUGGAUGAACCUGGAUUGAAUCCUGCUGCUGGGCUUCAUCUUUCUAGGGUAAUUUCUGUAGCUUGCAUUUCCUCACAUGUAAAUUGAGAGUAAUCAGCCUCUUAAAGAGCUGAUCUAAGGGUUAAAUGCAACAAUAGAUAUAAAGUCAUAUAGCAGGAGCUCAAUAAAUGCUGCUUUUCUUCCUGCCACACAUUUUAAAUGACAGAAACGAUCUACCUUUACUUUAGGAAUUGCGAUUUUCAGAUUUCAAGUCAUUUUUUAGCCUCUUACAUUUUGUAACUUGCAGAGCUAAAAGUUUGCACUGACUUAGCUCCUUCCACACCCCCUCAUAUGGACCCCAUGACACAAACCUACCCACACACACACAUACUCACACAUCUGAGUAACUAGUGUUCCCAUGACACAUCUCACACUUCGCCUGUUGUUUCGCUGUCGCUAUUCUGUCUGCAAAGCCAUUUCACCAAUCUUCACCUAGCAAAUCUUACUCAUUCUUUAAGGAGCAACUCAAAUUUCAUCUCCUCAGUGACACCUCCCACAUCAGUGUGAAUUCCUCACUGUCAGCUGUCUGUAUGGUGAGGACUAAAUAAAUGAGAGUAAAACUGCUUUAAA
This 1763-nucleotide long non-coding RNA is filed under the name Equus caballus (horse). RNAcentral's name for it is "lncRNA (ENSECAG00000045502.1)". Lineage: Eukaryota; Metazoa; Chordata; Mammalia; Perissodactyla; Equidae. The record is from RNAcentral.